This 769-nucleotide long non-coding RNA is filed under the name Gossypium raimondii (Peruvian cotton). RNAcentral's name for it is "long non-coding RNA (GRAI_LNC003442)". The record is from RNAcentral. Lineage: Eukaryota; Viridiplantae; Streptophyta; Magnoliopsida; Malvales; Malvaceae.
UUUUAUGCUGGCUUUAAGGUAUAUGAUUACUCUUUCUUACAAUAUUUUCUAUAAAUUUGGAAAAUGAUGCUUUGCUAAGUCACCUUAAGCAUAGAUUAACACUCAAUUGAUUCUAACAUUUCAUAUAAUCAUAUGGUAUUAAUAUAUUUUAUGUGUACAAGCCCAAUAAUGCUCGGGCCCAAGCAAAUAAACAAACCCAAUAAACUAAACCUAAGCCCAAACCAAACCUAGCCCAAAAAAAAACAAAAAAAUAGAAACCCUAAGCAGAAAAAUCACCAGCCGCCGCCCUCAACAGCAGCCACGUUCGUCGCCGCCUCUUGCGCGCCUUCCCCGCGCCGUUCGCUCCACGCCACACCUGCAGUAACGAAUAGAAACAAACAGAAUAGCAAAAAACGAGCAAUAGUAUAGAUUUUGUUUGGAUUUUAUUUGAUUUUUUUUUCCAUUUUCGGCUAUAAAAAGGGCCGAUAUCAAAUCUGUAAGGGGGGGAUUUCGGUGUAAAGGAAUACAAAUACGAAAUACGAAAUACAAAAGAAAAGAAAAGAGAAAUACAUUUUUUUCUUUGAAUAUAAAGGUGUUUUUUCGAUUUUAUCCUCUUUUCAGUAUUUUUGUGCUUAUAUUAAUUUAUAAAAGGGAGAGGGGAAGAGAAACUUACCUUUUUCGCCGGAUUGGGCGUCUCCGUCGCCAUCAGAGCACUGGCCCAGGUGAUCGGCGGCGCAGAGGGCUGGGGUUGAAGAAACCCUAGCAGAGGAUUUUAUUUUAUUUUAUUUUC